RNAcentral lists this transfer RNA (88 nucleotides) under Bacteroidia bacterium. RNAcentral describes it as "tRNA-Ser". It matches the Rfam family "tRNA". Rfam says of the family: Transfer RNA (tRNA) molecules are approximately 80 nucleotides in length. Lineage: Bacteria; Pseudomonadati; Bacteroidota; Bacteroidia. The record is from RNAcentral. RNAcentral also lists the same sequence under 1 other name.
GGAGAGAUGCUGGAGUGGCCGAACAGGCACGCUUGGAAAGCGUGAGUGCCCCAAAAGGGUACCGGGGGUUCGAAUCCCUCUCUCUCCG